Gossypium arboreum is the source of this 142-nucleotide non-coding RNA. Lineage: Eukaryota; Viridiplantae; Streptophyta; Magnoliopsida; Malvales; Malvaceae. The record is from Rfam.
UAUUAAAAAUUCCAUCAAUUUCUAUUGUUAAAAUCUGACAUGGUUGAUAGAAUAAUCAAAUAGUUACACUUGGUGUGCCACGUAUAUCUCAUUAUCUUAUAGGGACGUUUUUUAACAAUAGAAUUAGAUGAAAUUUUUAACA